Molecule: non-coding RNA, 75 nt
Filed under: Nosocomiicoccus ampullae
Lineage: Bacteria; Bacillati; Bacillota; Bacilli; Caryophanales; Staphylococcaceae
Also listed under: 1 other name
Description: Glycine riboswitch
Rfam family: Glycine riboswitch aptamer
About the family: This family represents the bacterial glycine riboswitch. Glycine riboswitches usually consist of two metabolite-binding aptamers domains with similar structures in tandem. The aptamers cooperatively bind glycine to regulate the expression of downstream genes.
Source: RNAcentral
GAUGUCGGAGAGAACGUAUAAUUACGUCGCCGAAGGAGCAAGCCUUUUUAGGUGAAUCUCUCAGGCAAAAGGACG